Molecule: ribosomal RNA, 249 nt
Filed under: uncultured bacterium
Lineage: Bacteria
Description: partial 16S ribosomal RNA
Rfam family: Bacterial small subunit ribosomal RNA
Source: RNAcentral
UACGUAGGGGGCAAGCGUUAUCCGGAAUCAUUGGGCGUAAAGCGCGUGUAGGCGGUUCCGUAAGUCCGCUCUGAAAGCCCAGGGCUCAACCCUGGGAGGCGGGUGGAUACUACGGAACUGGAGUACGGAAGAGGAGAUUGGAAUUCCUGGUGUAGCGGUGAAAUGCGCAGAUAUCAGGAGGAACACCAACAGCGAAGGCAGAUCUCUGGGACGUUACUGACGCUGAGAACGCGAAAGUGUGGGGAGCAA